This 253-nucleotide ribosomal RNA is filed under the name uncultured bacterium. Its description in RNAcentral is "partial 16S ribosomal RNA". It matches the Rfam family "Bacterial small subunit ribosomal RNA", at positions 524 to 776 of the family's 1533-position model. The record is from RNAcentral.
GACGAACCGUGCGAACGUUGUUCGGAAUCACUGGGCUUAAAGGGCGCGUAGGCGGGUGUGCAAGUCUGUGGUGAAAGCCUCCAGCUUAACUGGAGAAGUGCCAUGGAUACUGCACAUCUUGAGGAGGGUAGGGGCAUCUGGAACGGUCGGUGGAGCGGUGAAAUGCGUUGAUAUCGACCGGAACUCCGGUGGCGAAGGCGGCGUACUGGGUCUUAUCUGACGCUGAGGCACGAAAGCUAGGGGAGCGAACGGG